RNAcentral lists this ribosomal RNA (2813 nucleotides) under Pectobacterium carotovorum subsp. carotovorum. Its description in RNAcentral is "bacterial LSU rRNA". It matches the Rfam family "Bacterial large subunit ribosomal RNA". Lineage: Bacteria; Pseudomonadati; Pseudomonadota; Gammaproteobacteria; Enterobacterales; Pectobacteriaceae. The record is from RNAcentral.
AGCGUACACGGUGGAUGCCUAGGCAGUCAGAGGCGAUGAAGGGCGUGCUAAUCUGCGAUAAGCGUCGGUAAGCUGAUAUGAAGCGUUAUACCCGACGAUACCCGAAUGGGGAAACCCAGUGUGUUUCGACACACUAUCAUUACGUGAAUACAUAGCGUAAUGAGGCGAACCGGGGGAACUGAAACAUCUCAGUACCCCGAGGAAAAGAAAUCAACCGAGAUUCCCCUAGUAGCGGCGAGCGAACGGGGAGGAGCCCAGAACCUGAAUCAGUUUGUGUGUUAGUGGAAGCGUCUGGAAAGUCGCACAGUAAAGGGUGAUAGUCCCGUACACAAAAAUGCACAAAUUGUGAGUUCGAUGAGUAGGGCGGGACACGUGACAUCCUGUCUGAAUAUGGGGGGACCAUCCUCCAAGGCUAAAUACUCCUGACUGACCGAUAGUGAACCAGUACCGUGAGGGAAAGGCGAAAAGAACCCCGGCGAGGGGAGUGAAAUAGAACCUGAAACCGUGUACGUACAAGCAGUGGGAGCCUUGAUUAAUCAGGGUGACUGCGUACCUUUUGUAUAAUGGGUCAGCGACUUAUAUUCUGUAGCAAGGUUAACCGUAUAGGGGAGCCGUAGGGAAACCGAGUCUUAACUGGGCGUUAAGUUGCAGGGUAUAGACCCGAAACCCGGUGAUCUAGCCAUGGGCAGGUUGAAGGUUGGGUAACACUAACUGGAGGACCGAACCGACUAAUGUUGAAAAAUUAGCGGAUGACUUGUGGCUGGGGGUGAAAGGCCAAUCAAACCGGGAGAUAGCUGGUUCUCCCCGAAAGCUAUUUAGGUAGCGCCUCGUGAAUUCAUCUUCGGGGGUAGAGCACUGUUUCGGCUAGGGGGUCAUCCCGACUUACCAACCCGAUGCAAACUACGAAUACCGAAGAAUGUUAUCACGGGAGACACACGGCGGGUGCUAACGUUCGUCGUGAAGAGGGAAACAACCCAGACCGCCAGCUAAGGUCCCAAAGUCAUGGUUAAGUGGGAAACGAUGUGGGAAGGCACAGACAGCCAGGAUGUUGGCUUAGAAGCAGCCAUCAUUUAAAGAAAGCGUAAUAGCUCACUGGUCGAGUCGGCCUGCGCGGAAGAUGUAACGGGGCUAAACCAUGCACCGAAGCUGCGGCAGCGACACUUAGGUGUUGUUGGGUAGGGGAGCGUUCUGUAAGCCGUCGAAGGUGACCUGUGAGGGUUGCUGGAGGUAUCAGAAGUGCGAAUGCUGACAUAAGUAACGAUAAUGCGGGUGAAAAACCCGCACGCCGGAAGACCAAGGGUUCCUGUCCAACGUUAAUCGGGGCAGGGUGAGUCGACCCCUAAGGCGAGGCUGAAAAGCGUAGUCGAUGGGAAACAGGUUAAUAUUCCUGUACUCGGUGUUACUGCGAAGGGGGGACGGAGAAAGCUAGGUUAUCCGGGCGACGGUUGUCCCGGUUUAAGCGUGAAGGUGGAUGACUUUGGUAAAUCCGGGUCGUCAUUAACACUGAGGCGUGAUGACGAGUCACUACGGUGAUGAAGUAACCAAUGCUACGCUUCCAGGAAAAGCCUCUAAGCUCCAGGUAACAUCAAAUCGUACCCCAAACCGACACAGGUGGUCAGGUAGAGAAUACUCAGGCGCUUGAGAGAACUCGGGUGAAGGAACUAGGCAAAAUGGUGCCGUAACUUCGGGAGAAGGCACGCUGAUGGUAGGUGAAGUGACUUGCUCACGGAGCUGAAAUCAGUCGAAGAUACCAGCUGGCUGCAACUGUUUAAUAAAAACACAGCACUGUGCAAACACGAAAGUGGACGUAUACGGUGUGACGCCUGCCCGGUGCCGGAAGGUUAAUUGAUGGGGUCAGCCGCAAGGCGAAGCUCUUGAUCGAAGCCCCGGUAAACGGCGGCCGUAACUAUAACGGUCCUAAGGUAGCGAAAUUCCUUGUCGGGUAAGUUCCGACCUGCACGAAUGGCGUAAUGAUGGCCAGGCUGUCUCCACCCGAGACUCAGUGAAAUUGAACUCGCUGUGAAGAUGCAGUGUACCCGCGGCAAGACGGAAAGACCCCGUGAACCUUUACUAUAGCUUGACACUGAACCUUGAGCCUUGAUGUGUAGGAUAGGUGGGAGGCUUUGAAGCGUGGACGCCAGUCUGCGUGGAGCCAACCUUGAAAUACCACCCUUUAAUGUUUGAUGUUCUAACGUGGGCCCGUGAUCCGGGUUGCGGACAGUGUCUGGUGGGUAGUUUGACUGGGGCGGUCUCCUCCCAAAGCGUAACGGAGGAGCACGAAGGUUAGCUAAUCCUGGUCGGACAUCAGGAGGUUAGUGCAAAGGCAUAAGCUAGCUUGACUGCGAGAGUGACAGCUCGAGCAGGUGCGAAAGCAGGUCUUAGUGAUCCGGUGGUUCUGAAUGGAAGGGCCAUCGCUCAACGGAUAAAAGGUACUCCGGGGAUAACAGGCUGAUACCGCCCAAGAGUUCAUAUCGACGGCGGUGUUUGGCACCUCGAUGUCGGCUCAUCACAUCCUGGGGCUGAAGUAGGUCCCAAGGGUAUGGCUGUUCGCCAUUUAAAGUGGUACGCGAGCUGGGUUUAGAACGUCGUGAGACAGUUCGGUCCCUAUCUGCCGUGGGCGUUGGAAGAUUGAGAGGGGUUGCUCCUAGUACGAGAGGACCGGAGUGAACGCACCACUGGUGUUCGGGUUGUGAUGCCAAUUGCAUUGCCCGGUAGCUAAGUGCGGAAGAGAUAACCGCUGAAAGCAUCUAAGCGGGAAACUUGCCUCGAGAUGAGUCUUCCCUGGGCACUAGAUGCCCCUGAAGGGCCGUUGA